AAAAGCUCUUUGAAGAGAGAGUUAAAGAGGACGUGAAACCGAUAAGAAGGAAACGGAUAGAGUCAACGUAUCUGGCUUGUAUUCAGCUGCUGUUCGUUGCCAGGCGCCGCGCUCAAAUCGGAUCUCUGAUUGGGCGUAUUGGUGUUGUUACGGCGUCGACUCAGUAGUGCAUUUGCAAGUGGAGUGCGCUGAGACUUGUGGAGAUUAGCAGCGACUGGAACUUCGUCUUGAGGCUACACUUCACGGUGUAGUACCCAGACGUUGGAAAGGCCGUCUGCUCUGCAUGUGGCUAGAGUGCGGUUGGAGUUGAUGGGUGCUGUGUUGGCGGCUAGUAACGGUCGCAUGCGACACGUAUUAGUCUCUGUUCGACGCGGUGCUUAUCGAUUCUUCGUGCUUGUUCUCGGUGUAAAAGUUGGUCAUCUAUCCGACCCGUCUUGAAACACGGACCAAGGAGUUUAGCGUAUACGCGAGUCAUUGAGUGUGAAACUUAAAGGCGUAAUGAAAGUGAGAAUAUGCGAUCGUGUGCACUUCGGUGUGCGCUAGCAGCAUAGCCCCGUUCCGAUUGCUUGCAAUGGGGCGGAGGUAGAGCGUACUCGCUGAGACCCGAAAGAUGGUGAACUAUUCCUGAGCAGGACGAAGCCAGAGGAAACUCUGGUGGAAGUCCGAAGCGGUUCUGACGUGCAAAUCGAUCGUCUGACUUGGGUAUAGGGGCGAAAGACUAAUCGAACCAUC
This 732-nucleotide ribosomal RNA is filed under the name Neopsilenchus sp. 3 TJP-2012. Its description in RNAcentral is "LSU rRNA". It matches the Rfam family "Eukaryotic large subunit ribosomal RNA", at positions 367 to 944 of the family's 3401-position model. Lineage: Eukaryota; Metazoa; Nematoda; Chromadorea; Rhabditida; Tylenchidae. The record is from RNAcentral.